GAUGAACGCUGGCGGCGUGCUUAACACAUGCAAGUCGAACGUGAGAAUAGCAAUAUUUGAAAGUGGCAAACGGGUGAGUAACACGUGGGAACCUGCCUCGAAGUGGGGGAUAACGAUUGGAAACGGUCGCUAAUACCGCACGGUUCUGCUCUGAUGGGAAUGGAGCAGAUAAAGAUUUAUCGCUUUGAGAGGGGCCCGCAGCCGAUUAGCUAGUUGGUAAGGUAAAGGCUUACCAAGGCGAUUAUCGGUAGCUGGUCUGAGAGGACGAUCAGCCACACGGGAACUGAGACACGGUCCCGACUCCUACGGGGGGGCAGCAGUGAGGAAUAUUGGGCAAUGGGCGAAAGCCUGACCCAGCAACGCCGCGUGGAGGAUGAAGGCUUUAGGGUUGUAAACUCCUUUUGUGGGGAAAGAAUGGAUGGUACCCCAAGAAUAAGUCACGGCUAACUACGUGCCAGCAGCCGCGGUAAGGCACGACUGU
Molecule: ribosomal RNA, 481 nt
Filed under: uncultured bacterium
Lineage: Bacteria
Description: bacterial SSU rRNA
Rfam family: Bacterial small subunit ribosomal RNA
Source: RNAcentral